GACGGUACUUGCAGAAGAAGCACCGGCUAACUAUGUGCCAGCAGCCGCGGUAAUACAUAGGGUGCAAGCGUUGUCCGGAAUUAUUGGGCGUAAAGAGCUCGUAGGUGGUUCGUCACGUCGGAUGUGAAAAUCUGGGGCUUAACCCCAGACCUGCAUUCGAUACGGGCGAGCUAGAGUGUGGUAGGGGAGACUGGAAUUCCUGGUGUAGCGGUGGAAUGCGCAGAUAUCAGGAGGAACACCAAUGGCGAAGGCAGGUCUCUGGGCCAUUACUGACACUGAGGAGCGAAAGCGUGGGGAGCGAACAGGAUUAGAUACCCUGGUAGUCCACGCCGUAAACGGUGGGCACUAGUUGUGGGAACCUUCCACGGUUUCUGCGACGCAGCUAACGCAUUAAGUGCCCCGCCUGGGGAGUACGAUCGCAAGAUUAAAACUC
RNAcentral lists this ribosomal RNA (433 nucleotides) under uncultured bacterium. RNAcentral's name for it is "bacterial SSU rRNA". It matches the Rfam family "Bacterial small subunit ribosomal RNA", at positions 471 to 902 of the family's 1533-position model. The record is from RNAcentral.